RNAcentral lists this ribosomal RNA (247 nucleotides) under Symbiodinium sp. Mp. RNAcentral describes it as "partial Bacterial small subunit ribosomal RNA". It matches the Rfam family "Bacterial small subunit ribosomal RNA", at positions 971 to 1235 of the family's 1533-position model. Lineage: Eukaryota; Dinophyceae; Suessiales; Symbiodiniaceae. The record is from RNAcentral.
UUACCAGGACUUUUAUCUAUUUAAUUUUAAGAAAUUAAAAUUUAGUGAAGUAGAAAUAGGUGGUGCAUGGCUGUCGCCAGCUCGUGUCGUGAGAUGUUGGGUUAAUUCCCUUAACGAGCGCAACCCUUGUUUGGUCAGUUGUUAUGGAUUUCUGAGAAGACUGCCGAUGAGAAAUCGGAGGAAGGUAAGGAUGACGUCAAGUCAGUAUGCCCCGUAUGUCCUGGGCUACACACGUGCUACAAUGGCC